UACGGGGGGGGCAAGCGUUGUUCGGAAUUACUGGGCGUAAAGGGCUCGUAGGUGGCCAACUAAGUCAGACGUGAAAUCCCUCGGCUUAACCGGGGAACUGCGUCUGAUACUGGAUGGCUUGAGUUUGGGAGAGGGACGCGGAAUUCCAGGUGUAGCGGUGAAAUGCGUAGAUAUCUGGAGGAACACCGGUGGCGAAAGCGGCUCUCUGGACCACAACUGACGCUGAGGCGCGAAAGCUAGGGGAGCAAACAGG
Molecule: ribosomal RNA, 253 nt
Filed under: uncultured bacterium
Lineage: Bacteria
Description: partial 16S ribosomal RNA
Rfam family: Bacterial small subunit ribosomal RNA
Source: RNAcentral